Regulatory RNA element from Pseudomonas fulva 12-X, 216 nucleotides. It matches the Rfam family "sucA-II RNA". Lineage: Bacteria; Pseudomonadati; Pseudomonadota; Gammaproteobacteria; Pseudomonadales; Pseudomonadaceae. The record is from Rfam.
CUGCCGCACCGACGUCAUGUCGGUGUUGCAGUAUCGCCAGGGCGCUGGCCUAGCCGCCAGCGCCCUUAUACGAAAAAUAUGACGACCAGCAGGGGCAUUCGGGCUGGUGCCCGGACUAUCUGCGGGAUUCUUGGUGGCUUUGCUGAAGUCGCUGCAACCUGACUUCGAAAGCCUACGGUGUCCUCGCCGGUGGUGUCCCCUUACCGAGGGUGACCA